UUGACUUUGGCUAGAAUCUGGAACUUAAAAAGUUGCAAGUGUCCCAUUAUCAAAGUUGAUGUGAAAAUUUCAGAAUUCAGUUAAAAUAAUAUAGAUUGCUAAGAAUCUGAGAGGUUUGCUUUAUUGCUUCCAUUCUUUCAAAAAUUUCAUUUAAAUCCUUUACUUUGUCUGCCUAACAUAUUUACUUGUCUCAUAGUUUGCAUUUUGCCUCAAGAGGAAGGACCUCAUUGUAGGGCUGUUUUUUCUCUUCCUAAUUCCCCAAUUCGUGCGCUACAGUUUGCAAAUUCUGGAGCCAAACUUGCUGUUGGUUUUGAAUGUGGUAGGGUGGCAGUACUUGACAUGAGUUCAUUAUCAGUUCUCUUCUUCACAGACUUUGUAUCGAGCUCCAGUUCUCCUGUUAUUUCAGUGACCUGGACAAAUUAUGAAAAUAUUGGUAGCCUUGUAAAAAGUCCAAAGG
RNAcentral lists this unclassified non-coding RNA (457 nucleotides) under Hevea brasiliensis (rubber tree). Lineage: Eukaryota; Viridiplantae; Streptophyta; Magnoliopsida; Malpighiales; Euphorbiaceae. The record is from RNAcentral.